ACUAUUUUGGCAGAAUUAAGUGCAAUAAAUUUAGAAUUUAUUUAUGUAAUUGUUAUUACAAAUAGUA
This 67-nucleotide transfer RNA is filed under the name Myrmus lateralis. RNAcentral's name for it is "tRNA-Leu". The record is from RNAcentral. Lineage: Eukaryota; Metazoa; Arthropoda; Insecta; Hemiptera; Rhopalidae.